This 394-nucleotide ribosomal RNA is filed under the name Synodus macrops (triplecross lizardfish). RNAcentral describes it as "partial large subunit ribosomal RNA". It matches the Rfam family "Bacterial large subunit ribosomal RNA", at positions 2054 to 2597 of the family's 2925-position model. Lineage: Eukaryota; Metazoa; Chordata; Actinopteri; Aulopiformes; Synodontidae. The record is from RNAcentral.
UGCAGAAGCGGGGAUAACUCUACUAGACGAGAAGACCCUAUGGAGCUUUAGAAAAAAAACGACCAUUUAAGACUAAGUGAAAAAAAACACUAAAGUCAUUACACCCCCGUUUUUAUCUUUGGUUGGGGCGACCGUGGAGAAAUAAAAAACCCCCAUGAAGAAUAAGACAACUUCGUCUUUAAGCCAAGAGCCACAGCUCUAAGCAUCAAAAAAAUUUGACUAAAAGAUCCGGCUAAAAAUGCCGAUCAACGGACCGAGUUACCCUAGGGAUAACAGCGCAAUCUUCUCCCAGAGCCCCUAUCGACGAGAAGGUUUACGACCUCGAUGUUGGAUCAGGACAUCCUAAUGGUGCAGCCGCUAUUAAGGGUUCGUUUGUUCAACGAUUAACAGUCCU